Molecule: ribosomal RNA, 254 nt
Filed under: uncultured bacterium
Lineage: Bacteria
Description: partial 16S ribosomal RNA
Rfam family: Bacterial small subunit ribosomal RNA
Source: RNAcentral
UACGUAGGGUCCGAGCGUUGUCCGGAAUUAUUGGGCGUAAAGGGCUCGUAGGCGGCCAACUAAGUCGGACGUGAAAUCCCUCAGCUUAACUGGGGAACUGCGUCCGAUACUGGAUGGCUUGGAUUUGGGAGAGGGAUGCGGAAUUCCAGGUGUAGCGGUGAAAUGCGUAGAUAUCUGGAGGAACACCGGUGGCGAAGGCGGCAUCCUGGACCGGUAUUGACGCUGAGGCGCGAAAGCCAGGGGAGACAAACGGG